Molecule: ribosomal RNA, 468 nt
Filed under: uncultured bacterium
Lineage: Bacteria
Description: partial 16S ribosomal RNA
Rfam family: Bacterial small subunit ribosomal RNA
Source: RNAcentral
GACGAACGCUGGCGGCGUGCUUAACACAUGCAAGUCGAACGGGAAGUCCCGGCUUAGGGGGGGUGCGCUAGUUGCGACCUGGUGAGUAACACUUGGGUAACCUGUCACUGACUGUGGGAUAACUUCAGGAAACUUGGGCUAAUACCGGCUAGGAGUUCCUGCUGUAUGGUGGGGGUUGGAAAGAUUCGGCGGUUGGGGAGGGACACGCGGCUUAACAGCAUGUUGGUGGGGUAGUGUGUUACCAAGGCUUUGACGGGUAGCCGGGCUGCAAGGGUGACCGGCCACAUUGGGAAGGAGAUGAGGCACAGCCUCCUACGGGAGGGAGCAGUGGGGAAUAUUGCAUAAUGGGCGGAAGCCUGAUGCAGCACAGCAGCGUGGGGGAUGACGGGAUUCGGGUUGUAAACCGCUUUCGUCUGUGACGAAGUGUGAGUGACGGUAAUGGGUAAAGAAGCACCGGCUAACUACGUG